UAGCGUGAUGCUCCACGCGCUGGUGUUGU
RNAcentral lists this small RNA (29 nucleotides) under Bombyx mori (domestic silkworm). RNAcentral describes it as "ovarian small RNA-22450". Lineage: Eukaryota; Metazoa; Arthropoda; Insecta; Lepidoptera; Bombycidae. The record is from RNAcentral.